GAGCGCAACCCUUGUCAUUAGUUGCUACGCAAGAGCACUCUAAUGAGACUGCCGGUGACAAACCGGAGGAAGGUGGGGAUGACGUCAGGUCCUCAUGGCCCUUAUGGGUAGGGCUACACACGUCAUACAAUGGCCGGUACAGAGGGCUGCCAACCCGCGAGGGGGAGCCAAUCCCAGAAAACCGGUCGUAGUCCGGAUCGUAGUCUGCAACUCGACUGCGUGAAGUCGGAAUCGCUAGUAAUCAGCGGAUCAGCAUGUCACGAUGAAUACGUUCCCGGGUCUUGUACACACCGCCCGUCACACCAUGGGAGCGGGUCUCGCCAGAAGUAGUUAGCCUAACCGCAAGGAGGGCGAUUACCACGGCGGGGUUCGUGACUGGGGUGAAGUCGUAACAAGGUAACCA
This 403-nucleotide ribosomal RNA is filed under the name uncultured bacterium. Its description in RNAcentral is "bacterial SSU rRNA". It matches the Rfam family "Bacterial small subunit ribosomal RNA", at positions 1094 to 1502 of the family's 1533-position model. The record is from RNAcentral.